This is a non-coding RNA of Prunus avium (sweet cherry), 329 nucleotides long. Lineage: Eukaryota; Viridiplantae; Streptophyta; Magnoliopsida; Rosales; Rosaceae. The record is from RefSeq and is a predicted model, not a curated record.
UGCUUUUUAGUGGGAAGAGGUUAGGUGAGAUGAGCAAUUCAGCUAUAUGGUCUCAGCUCUGCAAGGGUGCACACUAGAAACAGAGCCACACCCAUCCAAUUUUCCUUCGGUGGGUUGAGCAAGAAGGUCUCAGCUUCCUGAGCCAGGGCUCACUCACACCACAAGGAACAGAGCCAGACCCACUUCUUUUCAACUUUUUCCAGAAAUGAUUGUACCAGUAGCAAUAGCUUUGACAGUGGGUCUUCUAGGGUGGGCUUAUCAAGCACUAAAGCCUCCUCCUCCGAAAAUAUGCGGAUCGCCUGGUGGUCCUCCUGUUACUUCACCAAGAG